AGAGUUUGAUCCUGGCUCAGGAUGAACGCUGGCGGCGUGCCUAAUACAUGCAAGUCGAGCGAACGGAUGAGAAGCUUGCUUCUCUGAUGUUAGCGGCGGACGGGUGAGUAACACGUGGAUAACCUACCUAUAAGACUGGGAUAACUUCGGGAAACCGGAGCUAAUACCGGAUAAUAUUUUGAACCGCAUGGUUCAAAAGUGAAAGACGGUCUUGCUGUCACUUAUAGAUGGAUCCGCGCUGCAUUAGCUAGUUGGUAAGGUAACGGCUUACCAAGGCAACGAUGCAUAGCCGACCUGAGAGGGUGAUCGGCCACACUGGAACUGAGACACGGUCCAGACUCCUACGGGAGGCAGCAGUAGGGAAUCUUCCGCAAUGGGCGAAAGCCUGACGGAGCAACGCCGCGUGAGUGAUGAAGGUCUUCGGAUCGUAAAACUCUGUUAUUAGGGAAGAACAUAUGUGUAAGUAACUGUGCACAUCUUGACGGUACCUAAUCAGAAAGCCACGGCUAACUACGUGCCAGCAGCCGCGGUAAUACGUAGGUGGCAAGCGUUAUCCGGAAUUAUUGGGCGUAAAGCGCGCGUAGGCGGUUUUUUAAGUCUGAUGUGAAAGCCCACGGCUCAACCGUGGAGGGUCAUUGGAAACUGGAAAACUUGAGUGCAGAAGAGGAAAGUGGAAUUCCAUGUGUAGCGGUGAAAUGCGCAGAGAUAUGGAGGAACACCAGUGGCGAAGGCGACUUUCUGGUCUGUAACUGACGCUGAUGUGCGAAAGCGUGGGGAUCAAACAGGAUUAGAUACCCUGGUAGUCCACGCCGUAAACGAUGAGUGCUAAGUGUUAGGGGGUUUCCGCCCCUUAGUGCUGCAGCUAACGCAUUAAGCACUCCGCCUGGGGAGUACGACCGCAAGGUUGAAACUCAAAGGAAUUGACGGGGACCCGCACAAGCGGUGGAGCAUGUGGUUUAAUUCGAAGCAACGCGAAGAACCUUACCAAAUCUUGACAUCCUUUGACAACUCUAGAGAUAGAGCUUUCCCCUUCGGGGGACAAAGUGACAGGUGGUGCAUGGUUGUCGUCAGCUCGUGUCGUGAGAUGUUGGGUUAAGUCCCGCAACGAGCGCAACCCUUAAGCUUAGUUGCCAUCAUUAAGUUGGGCACUCUAAGUUGACUGCCGGUGACAAACCGGAGGAAGGUGGGGAUGACGUCAAAUCAUCAUGCCCCUUAUGAUUUGGGCUACACACGUGCUACAAU
RNAcentral lists this ribosomal RNA (1242 nucleotides) under Staphylococcus aureus UCIM6080. RNAcentral describes it as "bacterial SSU rRNA". It matches the Rfam family "Bacterial small subunit ribosomal RNA", at positions 8 to 1231 of the family's 1533-position model. Lineage: Bacteria; Bacillati; Bacillota; Bacilli; Caryophanales; Staphylococcaceae. The record is from RNAcentral.